This 433-nucleotide ribosomal RNA is filed under the name uncultured bacterium. Its description in RNAcentral is "partial 16S ribosomal RNA". It matches the Rfam family "Bacterial small subunit ribosomal RNA", at positions 29 to 507 of the family's 1533-position model. The record is from RNAcentral.
AGCGAACGCUGGCGGCAGGCUUAACACGUGCAAGUCGAGCGGGCCUUUCGGGGUCAGCGGCGGACGGGUGAGUAACGCGUGGGAACGUGCCCUCUGGUUCGGAAUAACUCAGGGAAACUUGAGCUAAUACCGGAUACGCCCUUUUGGGGAAAGGCUUGCUGCCGGAGGAUCGGCCCGCGUCUGAUUAGCUAGUUGGUGAGGUAACGGCUCACCAAGGCGACGAUCAGUAGCUGGUCUGAGAGGAUGAUCAGCCACACUGGGACUGAGACACGGCCCAGACUCCUACGGGAGGCAGCAGUGGGGAAUAUUGGACAAUGGGCGCAAGCCUGAUCCAGCCAUGCCGCGUGAGUGAUGAAGGCCUUAGGGUUGUAAAGCUCUUUUAUCCGGGACGAUAAUGACGGUACCGGAGGAAUAAGCCCCGGCUAACUUCGUG